UACGUAGGGGGCAAGCGUUGUCCGGAUUUAUUGGGCGUAAAGAGCGUGUAGGCGGUUUGGUAGGUCCGUUGUGAAAACUCGAGGCUCAACCUCGAGACGCCGAUGGAAACCAUCAGACUAGAGUCCGGAAGAGGAGAGUGGAAUUCCUGGUGUAGCGGUGAAAUGCGCAGAUAUCAGGAAGAACACCCGUGGCUAAGGCGGCUCUCUGGGCCGUUACUGACGCUGAGGAGCGAAAGCGUGGGGAGCGAACAGG
RNAcentral lists this ribosomal RNA (253 nucleotides) under uncultured bacterium. Its description in RNAcentral is "partial 16S ribosomal RNA". It matches the Rfam family "Bacterial small subunit ribosomal RNA", at positions 524 to 776 of the family's 1533-position model. The record is from RNAcentral.